This 247-nucleotide ribosomal RNA is filed under the name uncultured bacterium. RNAcentral's name for it is "partial 16S ribosomal RNA". It matches the Rfam family "Bacterial small subunit ribosomal RNA", at positions 57 to 305 of the family's 1533-position model. The record is from RNAcentral.
GCAAGUCGAGGGGUAACAGGGAGCUUGCUCCGCUGACGACCGGCGCACGGGUGCGUAACGCGUAUACAAUCUACCUUUUGCUACGGGAUAGCCUUUGGAAACGAAGAUUAAUACCGUAUAGUAUAUAUAGGCCUCAUGGUUUUUAUAUUAAAGGUUACAACAGAAGAUGAGUAUGCGUCCUAUUAGCUUGUUGGUGUGGUAACGGCACACCAAGGCUACGAUAGGUAGGGGCCCUGAGAGGGGGAUC